AUCAGAUCGGUGAUGUGUUGAAUAAAUUACUGCGUUAUCUUUCUGAAUAUUCGGAGUCGAUGAAUUUGAGGAUACAUGUUUAAUCAUCCUGAGAUCUGUU
RNAcentral lists this small nucleolar RNA (100 nucleotides) under Genlisea aurea. RNAcentral's name for it is "Small nucleolar RNA snoR27". It matches the Rfam family "Small nucleolar RNA snoR27". The record is from Rfam by way of RNAcentral. Lineage: Eukaryota; Viridiplantae; Streptophyta; Magnoliopsida; Lamiales; Lentibulariaceae.